GGACUGGAAGUAUGUAGCCAUGGUGAUCGACCGGCUCUUCCUCUGGAUUUUUAUCCUGGUGUGUGUCGUCGGCACACUCGGACUCUUUGUUCAGCCUCUCUUUCAGAGCUACAACACCCCCGUGGCAGAGGAAGAAUAUGGGGAUUUCUAAAAUAUCUGCUGAGUGAUCCUGUGACUUUGGGGCGUACCUGUUGUCUGAGCUUUGACGUAUCACAAACACAUAUCCACAUUAACGUUCAGCAGAACAGAACCAUUGUGGGGCGAAUUCACUAAACAGUUACAUUAGCGUAUGGUGUUUCAGCGCAAAAUCACAAACCACCCGCAAUCCAUUUUAAGCAGCAUUGUGCAUUUACAUUCAUUCUUUUCUUGGCAAACCGCCUUUCUAUGCAAAUUAGGCUUCUUAUAGCAUGUGUAUUCAAAAAAUGAGUGCUGUGUAACUGGUACAAUUAACGUUGCGCUAUUAUCGCCCGUAGAAAGCUGGCUGUAAACACAAUUGUAUGUAAAACAGACAUUUGUUUAAAUUUUCUACUGAUCAUGGUAGCAGUAAAUUAUCAAAUGAUGAUUAAUUGGAGUAGAGCGUUAUAAUCAGCCAUAAAACCAGCCAUUACUCGAUUUGCAUAAUUCCUUUAGAUGCAGAUAAACACAUCUGCUGGUUCUGUUCCUUCUUAGUGAAUUCCCUCUGUGUGUCACAUGACAAACAGUCUCAAAGCUAUAAACCAAUGAUCCCGUUUCUUUAAUUAAAGGUGCUGUAUGUCAUUUUUUGACUGUAGUAAAGCAUACAAAUACCAUAAUAGAUUUGCAGAUAUUUA
Molecule: long non-coding RNA, 809 nt
Organism: Sinocyclocheilus rhinocerous
Lineage: Eukaryota; Metazoa; Chordata; Actinopteri; Cypriniformes; Cyprinidae
Exons: 2
Source: RefSeq, a predicted model, not a curated record